This 253-nucleotide ribosomal RNA is filed under the name uncultured bacterium. RNAcentral's name for it is "partial 16S ribosomal RNA". It matches the Rfam family "Bacterial small subunit ribosomal RNA", at positions 524 to 776 of the family's 1533-position model. The record is from RNAcentral.
UACGGAGGGUCCAAGCGUUAUCCGGAAUCAUUGGGUUUAAAGGGUCCGUAGGCGGUUUUGUAAGUCAGUGGUGAAAGCCCAUCGCUCAACGGUGGAACGGCCAUUGAUACUGCAAGACUUGAAUUAUUAGGAAGUAACUAGAAUAUGUAGUGUAGCGGUGAAAUGCUUAGAGAUUACAUGGAAUACCAAUUGCGAAGGCAGCCCACUAAGCAACUAUUGACGCUGAGGCACGAAAGCGUGGGGAUCAAACAGG